GGCACUUAAUACUCAUUAAACCUGAAAAAAAGUAUUACUACUCGUUAAAUUAAACUAGUAAGAGAAACUACACAUUUGAUAUAAACAUUCCCAGUACAAUGUUAAUUAUUAGCUACCUAGACAAAACAGACACAAUAACAUAUAAAAGAACAGGCAAGUAACAGUUGUUCUGUGCUCUGACAAACUAUUGGACUACAUAAUAGACAUUAUCACAUUUCUACUUUCUUCAUGUUACUACCAAGUUUAGAUCACAUAACAAGACUAAGAUCAUGAAACCUAUGUGAGCAGAUAGAUAUGGUACAGCACAAUUGUUAGAAUUAUAACUCAAAAU
Molecule: unclassified non-coding RNA, 331 nt
Filed under: Hevea brasiliensis (rubber tree)
Lineage: Eukaryota; Viridiplantae; Streptophyta; Magnoliopsida; Malpighiales; Euphorbiaceae
Source: RNAcentral